CCCUUAGGUGUUCUGGGCCGCACGCGCGCUACACUGAUGCAUUCAACAAGCCUAGCCUUGACCGAGAGGUCCGGGUAAUCUUUGAAACUGCAUCGUGAUGGGGCUAGAUUAUUGCAAUUAUUAAUCUUCAACGAGGAAUGCCUAGUAAGCGUGAUUCAUCAAAUCGCGUUGAUUACGUCCCUGCCCUUUGUACACACCGCCCGUCGCUCCUACCGAUUGAAUGUGUUGGUGAGGAGCUCGGAUUGGCAGCAGUUGGUGGUUCGCCACCGGCUAUUGCUGAGAAGUCCUCCAAACCGCCCCAUUUAGAGGAAGGAGAANUCGUANCA
This 326-nucleotide ribosomal RNA is filed under the name uncultured eukaryote. RNAcentral's name for it is "partial 18S ribosomal RNA". It matches the Rfam family "Eukaryotic small subunit ribosomal RNA", at positions 1470 to 1796 of the family's 1831-position model. The record is from RNAcentral.